Molecule: ribosomal RNA, 776 nt
Filed under: uncultured Neocallimastigales
Lineage: Eukaryota; Fungi; Neocallimastigomycota; Neocallimastigomycetes; Neocallimastigales
Description: partial large subunit ribosomal RNA
Rfam family: Eukaryotic large subunit ribosomal RNA
Source: RNAcentral
UAUCUCUGUAGAGUCUGCAUAUCAAUAAGCGGAGGAAAAGAAACUAACUAAGGAUUCCCUUAGUAACGGCGAGUGAAGCGGGAAGAGCUCAAAUUUGAAAUCUUCAAGGUUUUACCUUGACGAAUUGUAGUUUAAAGAAGUGUUUUCUGUUGGAUGUUUUGGUAAAAGUUCUUUGGAAUAGGACAUCAUAGAGGGUGAGAAUCCCGUAUUUGACCAUUACUUCCAGCUUUGUGAUACACUUUCAAAGAGUCGGAUUGUUUGGGAAUGCAGUCCAAAAUGGGUGGUAAAUUUCAUCUAAAGCUAAAUAUUGGCGAGAGACCGAUAGCGAACAAGUACCGUGAGGGAAAGAUGAAAAGAACUUUGAAAAGAGAGUUAAACAGUACGUGAAAUUGUCAAAAGGGAAGCGUUUGACACCAGUGUUGUUUUCUCGAAAAUCAAUUAAAAAAAGUUGGAUUUUGUAUUGUUAAGACCUUAUCAGCUUACUGUACUCUUUUCUUGCUUUUUUUAAUGCACUUUUCGUUUAACAAGUCAACAUCAAUUUCUUUUGUUGUAAAAGAGUCAUUGGAAGGUGGCUUUCACUUCGGUGAAAGUGUUUAUAGCCUUUGGCUUCUGCAAUCGGAGAGAUUGAGGUCUGCAGCGUAGAUCCUUCGGGGCUAGAUACGUAGAUGCUAAGUUAUAGUUUUUUAUAGACAACUUGUUGACUAUAAUUAAUCAUGUAGCUUACUCGUUUGCGCUAUUUUACCUACGCUUAGGAUGUUGAAGAUGUAGCACAUCAU